CUAGCAGUUAUCAAAGGCAUAUGUCAGAAAGAAUUAUAGUCCUCAAUUGUUUAUUCUUUCUGUUCCCCUGGAAAGUAUUGAAACUGAAGAUACUUAAUAUUUUCUUUUUCUUUUUUUCUGGCAGGGGUGAUGAUACCAGGGAUUGGACUCAGGGGCACUCAACCACUGAGCCACAUUCCCAGCCCUAUUUUGUAUUUUCAUUAGAGACAAGGUCUUACUGAGUUACUUAGUGUCUCGCUAGGUUGCUGAGGUUGGCUUUGAACUCCGGAUCCUCCUGCCUCACCCUCCCAAGCCUCUGAGUAUACAGGCAAUCCUCCUGUCUCAGCCUUAUACAUGUGCACCACUAUGCUUGCUACAGUAUUUUCUUAGAACGAACUUUUCAUCUUUGUUUGAAAGGAGAAGAGAGGAUCAUGUAAUUUUCAAUUUAUAUCAUCAAAAGAAGGAACAUAUUGUAUUCAACUAUUUUAUUCAUCUAAGCACCGAAAAAAUAUAAUUUUUGCUUUGCUGCAGUUGCUGGCUUUUCUAAUUUAUGCCUAUUAUAAUUCUUACCUAAUAGUCUUCAUUGUUUUCCUCUUUAUAGAUUUAGACAUAGUUAACAGAUAAAUUAUAAAAUUUGAUGCCAGUAAAUUUUACCUCUUCGACUUUAGUUUUAUUGAACAAGAAACUAUGUUUUGAAAAAUUUUGUGUAUUUGAUUGUCUUUGAAAGUUUUUGGUUUGAAAGAUUUUUGGAAAGCAUGCUUUUAGUGUUGAAUUUUUAAAUCUCUAUUUUUCUUAAGCAAGAUGUUAUAAAAAUGCUCCCUCAAUGUAUGGAUAGUUACAGGAUGUAUGUUUCAUUCAAAUUAAAUAAAAGGAAUAUUUGCAAUUGUAGAACAACAGCGGGAAGAGAAACAGGAUACUUUUACAGAAAAAUUAGUUACUCAGAUCAUAAAAAAUCUUCAAGUGAAAAUUUCCAACAUCCAUAUUCGUUAUGAAGAUGAUGUAAGUAUUUUAAAAAUAUAGAUGAUUUUAAAAGAUACAUUUAUAUGUAAGUCAUUGUACUGUUUGUUGAUACUUACUUUAUACUAGCCAGACUAUUAAAUAAUGC
This 1084-nucleotide long non-coding RNA is filed under the name Marmota monax (woodchuck). The record is from RNAcentral. Lineage: Eukaryota; Metazoa; Chordata; Mammalia; Rodentia; Sciuridae.